GAUGAACGCUGACAGAAUGCUUAACACAUGCAAGUCAACUUGAACUUCGGUUUGGGUGGCGGACGGGUGAGUAACGCGUAAAGGACUUGCCUCACAGCUAGGGACAACAUUUGGAAACGAAUGCUGAUACCUGAUAUUAUGAUUUUAGGGCAUCCUAGAAUUAUGAAAGCUAUAUGCGCUGUGAGAGAGCUUUGCGUCCCAUUAGCUAGUUGGAGAGGUAACGGCUCACCAAGGCGAUGAUGGGUAGCCGGCCUGAGAGGGUGAACGGCCACAAGGGGACUGAGACACGGCCCUUACUCCUACGGGAGGCAGCAGUGGGGAAUAUUGGACAAUGGACCAAGAGUCUGAUCCAGCAAUUCUGUGUGCACGAUGAAGUUUUUCGGAAUGUAAAGUGCUUUCAGUUGGGAAGAAAAAAAUGACGGUACCAACAGAAGAAGUGACGGCUAAAUACGUG
This 454-nucleotide ribosomal RNA is filed under the name uncultured bacterium. Its description in RNAcentral is "partial 16S ribosomal RNA". It matches the Rfam family "Bacterial small subunit ribosomal RNA", at positions 28 to 507 of the family's 1533-position model. The record is from RNAcentral.